Homarus americanus (American lobster) is the source of this 740-nucleotide long non-coding RNA. RefSeq lists it as uncharacterized. The record is from RefSeq and is a predicted model, not a curated record. Lineage: Eukaryota; Metazoa; Arthropoda; Malacostraca; Decapoda; Nephropidae. The transcript is spliced from 3 exons.
AAGGUUAACAGUAGGGAUGGUGGUCAUCACCAGUGAAGGUUAACAGUAGGGAUGGUGGUCAUCACCAGUGAAGGUUAACAGUAGGGAUGGUGGUCAUCACCAGUGAAGGUUAACAGUAGGGAUGGUGGUCAUUUUACUGUAUGCACCGUCGGUCAGUAAUAUACUGUUUGAUUUUGUUGGUGUUUAUUGUCUCAAUACAGAAGGCACCAAUACCUGAAAUGUACAGAACAGGAAUUAACACACAUAGGCUACACCAUCUCACACAUAUACUAGUACACAAACUCCAAUGACUAUACACUUGGAACAGUACAUCCAUCAUCAGUGAAAGUAAGUAGUAGAGACAGUGGCCAUCAUCAGUGAAAGUAAGUAGUAGAGACAGUGGCCAUCAUCAGUGAAAUUAUAAAGGAGGGAGGGUGGCCAUCAUCAAUGAAAUUUAAAAGGGGGGAGGGUGGCCAUCAUCAGUGAAAUUAAAAAGGAGGGAGGGUGGCCAUCAUCAAUGAAAGUAAACAGGAGGGAGGGUGGCCAUCAUCAAUGAAAGUAAACAGGAGGGAGGGUGGCCAUCAUCAAUGAAAGUAAACAGGAGGGAUGGUGGCCAUCAUCAAUGAAAGUAAACAGGAGGGAGGGUGGCCAUCAUCAAUGAAAGUAAACAGGAGGGAUGGUGGCCAUCAUCAAUGAAAGUAAACAGGAGGAGGGUGGCCAUCAUCAAUGAAAGUAAACAGGAGGAGGGUGGCCAUCAUCAA